This 194-nucleotide non-coding RNA is filed under the name uncultured Prevotella sp. The record is from RNAcentral. Lineage: Bacteria; Pseudomonadati; Bacteroidota; Bacteroidia; Bacteroidales; Prevotellaceae.
UAAUCGGUUCUCCUUGGGGGAGAUGAAAAGGGAAUCAGGUGAGAGACCUGAACAGAAUCCCGCCGGAAAGUGCCUGUCCGUGGCCUUUCCCGCUGCUGUAAGUCGUCCUUUAUGAGGCGCAAACACAUAUGUCACUGAGAUUUUCGGGAAGACGUUUGUUGCCAGACGAUAAGUCAGAAGACCUGCCGAUGAAA